GUAGGGAAUAUUGGACAAUGGGUGCAAGCCUGAUCCAGCCAUGCCGCGUGCAGGAAGAAGGCCUUCUGGGUUGUAAACUGCUUUUGCCAGGGGAUAAAAAGCCCAUGCGUGGGAAAUUGAAGGUACCUGGUGAAUAAGCCACGGCUAACUACGUGCCAGCAGCCGCGGUAAUACGUAGGUGGCAAGCGUUGUCCGGAUUUAUUGGGUUUAAAGGGUGCGUAGGCGGUUCUAUAAGUCAGUGGUGAAAUCCGGCAGCUCAACUGUCGAUGUGCCAUUGAUACUGCAGAACUUGAGUACAGACGAGGUAGGCGGAAUUGACGGUGUAGCGGUGAAAUGCUUAGAUAUCGUCAAGAACACCGAUAGCGAAGGCAGCUUACUAGACUGUAACUGACGCUGAUGCACGAAAGUGUGGGGAUCAAACAGGAUUAGAAACCCCUGUAGUCC
This 444-nucleotide ribosomal RNA is filed under the name uncultured bacterium. Its description in RNAcentral is "bacterial SSU rRNA". It matches the Rfam family "Bacterial small subunit ribosomal RNA", at positions 354 to 796 of the family's 1533-position model. The record is from RNAcentral.